UAAAAUAUAAAUAAAGCAUAAAAUGGAUGCCUUGACUCGAAUAUCCGAAGAAGGACGUGCAAAUCUGCGAUAAGCCUAGAGGAGUUGAUAAGAUACGUUAAAACUCUAGGAUUUCCGAAUGGGGGAACCCAAUAUAGGUAAUCUAUAUAAUCCUAAAUAAUAGGAAGGACACAUUGAGAAUUGAAAUAUCUAAGUAACAAUGGAAAAGAAAUCAAAAGAGAUUCCCCUAGUAGUGACGAGCGAAGAGGGAGAAGCCCAAACCGUUAAAUAUGUAUAGGUAGCUUUUGUAUUAGCGGUGUUGAAGGAAUAAUAUACAGAGAGGCUAAUAAUCUGGAUAUUUACUAUAAUAAAUAAAAGAAAGAGCUGAGAAACUCUGCCAUAGAAGGUUAAAGCCCUGUAAAUUAAAUUUAAUUUUAGAAAUAUGUAUUAUAUCCUGAGUAGGUUCAGACACGAGAAAUCUGGAUUGAAACAGGGGAGACCACUCUCCAAGGCUAAAAAGUAUUCGAGAUCGAUAGCGAACAAGUACCAUGAGGGAAAGGUGAAAAGAACCCCGGAAGGGGAGUGAAAUAGAACCUGAAAUUUUAUGCUGAUAAAGAGAUGGAGCCUACGGGUGACAUCGUACUUUUUGUAGAACGGACCAACGAGUUAGUGUAUUUGGCAAGGUUAAGGGAGGAUAACCCGAAGCCGAAGUGAAAGCGAGCCUGAAGAGGGCAUAAGUCAAAUAUACUAGACCCGAAACUGGGUGAGCUUCCCAUGAGCAGGCUGAAGUAUAGGUAAAACUGUAUGGAGGGCCGAACCAAUUGGAGCUGCAAGUCCUUUGGAUGACUUGUGGGAAGGAGUGAAAAGCUAAUCGAACCCAGAGAUAGCUGGUUCUCCGCGAAAUAGCUUUAGGGCUAGCCUUGGUGAACUAUUAUAUAGGGGUAGAGCUCUGAUUGGGCUAGCGGGCUUCACGGCUUAGUCAACCCAGACAAACUUCGAAUACUAUAUAAAUUACACCAGGAGUCAGACGGUGAGAGAUAAGUCCCAUCGUCAAAAGGGAAACAGCCCAGAUUACUAUCUAAGGUCCCUAAUUAACAACUAAGUGGCAAAGGAUGUGGGGUUGCUGAGACAACCAGGAGGUUGGCUUAGAAGCAGCCAUUCCUUAAAAGAGUGCGUAAUAGCUCACUGGUCAAGCGACCCUGCGCCGAAAAUACAACGGGGCUCAAGUUGUUAACCGAAGAUGUAAAAUCGUAAGAUUGGUAGCGGAGCGUUCUGUAAGCCGCAGAAGGUGAGGGGUAACCCGAGCUGGAGGUAUCAGAAGCGAAAAUGUUGGUAUGAGUAACGAGAGGGAAAUGAAAACAUUCCCCAUCGGAAACCCAAGGUUUCCUACGCAACGGCAGUCGUCGUAGGGUUAGUCGGUCCUAAGGUGAAGCUGAAAGGCAAAGCUGAUGGAUACCAGGUUAAUAUUCCUGGACUACUUAUAUAACUGAAGGGGGGACAUAUUUGGAUAUAAGAGAUACUUAAUUACUUGUAUUACGAAAGCGAAACUAGGGAUAUAGGCAAAUCCGUAUUCCUGUUAAAGUUGAGCUAAGUUAAGUUGAUGGAAGCCAUUAUUGGUGGAAAGAUUCUGCUCUUACUAUAUUCAGGUAUCGAGAAAAGCCUCUAAGGGUUAAUUGUAUAAGUAACCGUACCGCAAUCAAACACAUGUGGGUUGGUGGAGAACACCAAGAUGAACGAGAAAACUAUGCUUAAGGAACUCGGCAAAACAGCGGUCGUAACUUCGGGAUAAGACCUGCCUAGAGUGUAAUUUACAAACUAGGCCGCAGCGAAAGAACUCAGGCGACUGUUUACCAAAAACACAGCUCUCUGCAAACUCGUAAGAGGAAGUAUAGGGGGUGAUGCCUGCCCAGUGUCAGAAGGUUACAUGGAUGUGUGAGAGCAUUGAAAUCAAGCCCUGAUGAACGGCGGCCGUAACUAUAACGGUCCUAAGGUAGCGAAAUUCCUUGUCGGGUA
This 1992-nucleotide ribosomal RNA is filed under the name human oral metagenome. RNAcentral's name for it is "bacterial LSU rRNA". It matches the Rfam family "Bacterial large subunit ribosomal RNA", at positions 1 to 1978 of the family's 2925-position model. The record is from RNAcentral.